ACGGGGUGUGCGGGAUGUCACAGAGGUAUACGGGGAUAGUACAUGGCGUGCGGAGCGGCUCAGAAUGUGCGGGGCCGGUGCAGGGUGUGCGGGAUGUCACAGGGAUAACGGGGGUAAUCCAUGGCGUGCGGAGCGGGGCCGGUGCAGGGUGUGCGGGAUGUGACAGGGUAUACGCGGUAGUACAUGGCGUGCGGAGCGGCUCAGGCUGUGCGGGGGUGGCAGAGGGCAGUGCGGGGACAGGGCACAGCCGUCGCUGGCGGAGGUUGGUGCCGGUGCGGGGGAGCGGGGCACUGCCGAGCCCUGUGUCAGCGCCGGCUCCGUUCCGGAGCAGCGCCGGCACCCCGCGCACCGGGCUGGAACGGCCUUUACAGCCCGGCCCAUCCCGCCCCGCUGCUCUGGAACUGGCAGCGGUGACACCAGGCAGCUUACUCCUGUCACAGCUGCCGUCACCUCCCGUGCGUGUCACAGCACCGACCUCUCUCCCUGACUGCAGCCCGUGUGUCCCUGGGCUGGAGACAGCUGAAAUUUGGCCAUCCUGCAUCUUCAGAGUACAAACAUACCCAGUCCAGACUCAGAAUGAGCUGCAGCAACUGGAUAAAUCUACUGGGACCAUGAAGAAUUCAAAUGGUUAAUUUGGGUUAAAAGUCGCUCUGCAGGUGGGAUGCCUCCUGUCCCUCAAGUGGCUCAGCAGAUCAUCCAGGAGGAAAACCAACAGCAAAAUGGACCAAAUUUGUCAAAUCUGCUCAAUUCUUACACAGCAGGAACCCAGCUCUGCCCCAGCAGGUACAACCAGCAGGAUGGGAUAAGAACCAUGUGCUUGUGCUCCCAGCUCCAGUUCUCUCACAGCAAAAGGAAAAUGAAAUUCUGCAGCGGACAGCAGCACUGAGGAAAGGAAGUUUUUGAUCUCUGAAACCUCUGCCCAAACUCCAUGAGGCCCCACAGCACAAAUCACACCAUGAUUUCUCUUUUGGAGGAAAUGCAGUGGAUGGCAACAGAUUUUUUUCAAGAAAGAAGAUAAAAGAUGAUAACAACCAAGAGAAUAAUCACACAGACUUGUCUCUGUUUGAUGUGAUUGGGAUGGAAAACCAAAUCACUUGCUAUGAAGCACAAAUGCUGCCAAAACUGAAGGUAACUGGAAAGUUUAUGGAAGAGAUCUCCUGCUCCCCUUCAGCACCCAGACUUGAGCCAGUGAAGGUCCAACCAAACAGAGACCUAUGUGUGUUCCCAGCUGGAGCUGUUGCUCCUCCUUGUUUGUAUGGAGCAAAUCCUCCUUACAUAUGGACCCAUGGAAUGCAACCCCUGCAGUUCAGUCUGGAGGAGCAAAGGUGGUGCAGGAAUUGAUGAUUCAGUUAUUGGUGAUUCAGGUAUUGGUGAUUCAGGUGUUGGUGAUUCAGGUAUUGGUGAUUCAGGUGUUGGUGAUUCAGGUGUUGGUGAUUCAGGUGUUGGUGAUUCAGGUAUUGGUGAUUCAGGUAUUGGUGAUUCAGGUGUUGGUGAUUCAGGUGUUGAUGAUUCAGGUGUUGGUGAUUCAGGUGUUGGUGAUUCAGGUGUUGGUGAUUCAGGUAUUGGUGAUUCAGGUGUUGGUGAUUCAGGUAUUGGUGAUUCAGGUAUUGAUAAUUCAGGUAUUGGUGAUUCAGGUAUUGGUGAUUCAGGUGUUGGUGAUUCAGGUGUUGGUGAUUCAGGUAUUGGUGAUUCAGGUGUUGAACACCCACCACUGCUCACACCUGUGUGCAGGGGCUGUCUCUGACUGUGAGUGUCACCUGCAGAACCCUCAGCUUCUCACUCAUAACCAGGCAAGUUGGGAGCUCUGUCCUGCUUUGGCAGCUGAAAGCAGAAGGGGCAGCAGGUGCUGGUUUUGACACAGAUGAUUGCAAUGCUCAACAUCCUGGAGCUUUCCCUGAAUUUCCAUUUCCCCAUGUGAGUGAGAGUGGUGCUCACAGCUGGCAUUAUCUGGUAAGAGGAUCUCUUCCUCAAGCUCAUAGUGAGUUGAUGCUCAUGGUGGGAGGGAGAAUGCUAAAGGGAAGUCUAAGACAUUUGCAAGAUUCAUUUACAUAAUUUCCUUAUUUAUUGAAGCAAAUUAUGUAUGUAGCUGUAGCUCAAAUAUGUAAUUAUACAUGAAGUAUGUCAUUUGAUGAGGCAUCUAGGGUGUUGCCAAGGAGUAUGCCACUAGUUAUCCUACCUUUAUGAGCAAUUUGUGCUUCAAAUGCAGAUGGUUUUUUGCACAAUAGCCACUUGAUUAAUUUGCUUUUGCUUUCAUUAUCUGUAGCUAUUUACAUUGUUAGUACUUUAAGUGUAGUUGGUGUUUUUAUGUUUGCAGUUCCUCAGCCUUACUCCAGGGGCUUUUAUUUUGUAGAGUGCCCUGGCAUUGCCUGAGGAUAAAUUGAAAGUAUGCUCCUUUCCCUCCCCAGUAAGAUUCUCUGUAUCCUCUGGGGCCUACAAUUUGAGCAAACAUUACCAAUAUAUUGAAGUUUUUUCUUACUUUUUAUUCCAAACUGCAUCAUUAUGCUUUCUGUUAGAUGCAGUAUAAAACAUAAAAGAAUACUUUGCCUUAAAGCAACACAAGGGAGCACAACAGAAAGGAUUUGAUUUAGUCAUAGACAAGAAAAAUGAUGGAGUAUGUGCAGGAAUAACAACUCAGUCAGGUGUUCUUAGUCAUAGGCCAUGAUGUGAUUACUUGUAAUAGAUCUUUAGGUUUUAUAUGGCUGACUGCACCAUAAAUUAAUAGUUUUAAUGAUAGAUUAAUUAUGAGCUGUGUAGAUCUGUAAUGUGGCAGUCAGAUAACUUGAAAUGUUUGCACGCUUAAUGUAGGUUGGGGAAGUAAUAAGAAAGCAAUUUUUCCAAUCUUCUCAUUCUCUUAAAAAAAAAGUUUGUUUAGAGAUUUAUCCUAUAUUAAUGUCAAUUUGUAAUUAAAUUGCUUGUUUCCCCAUUUUAGGAAUUCAUAAAAAGCUUCAACCAAGACAAGUGAUCCUUCUGUGCUGUCCUGUCUUGCCACACUCCCUGCACAGGUGUCAGUCACACAGAUGUGAUUCCUCUUGUCUUCUGUGACGCUGAUGGACACAGAGAUGGCAUGGUGUGACAAAACAGGAAGAGGCAGAGAUACCCACACAUGCAGGUUUGCAGGUAAUUCUAUUGAAGAGAGGCUGUUGAAAAAAUGUAUUAAACAUGAUUCAACAACUGGCUGCUCAGGGAGGGGAUUGUUCACUUUUUAUCCCAGGUACUGUAACAUUAAGAAUGUGAGCAGUUAUUUGAUGAUACAUAAAAAAAUAAGUGUUUUACUAGAUCUGAGACAGAAUUUUAAAAAGGUAGUGGUUUCUUUAUUUCUAGGCUUGAUUGGGAACCAGUGAUGUGUGUUCACAGUUAAAUUGAGUAGAAAUCCUGAACUGUCAGCUCAUAUAGAAAAUCAGACGGUCUUGGAUCCUAUCAGUGGUGUGGUUAACUCUUGCAACAAUGUUUAUCACUCCCCAAAGCAACACCAAAAUUGUUACAUAAAAACCAUUGCAGGUCCAGAGGGAAAGGAGAGUUUAAGUUGAAACUCGCUUUGCAUUGUGAGGACUUGGGGGUUUUGGGGUGCUUUUUGUUGAUUUUUUUUUCCUUUUAAUUCCUUAUAGCUGUUAGAGUACUAUGGGAGUUUUGACUAAGCAAAAACAUAACUAGAUUUUAGAAUUUUGUAUAGCUUGGUAUACAAACAAAUGCUGGUAAAUACCUUUUCCUAACAGUAUGACUAAUAUAGGUUACAUUUAUUACAUUUCCAUGCACUUAGGAAUAUGAAUUUCCCCAAUGUUAUGAUAAUAUGACCUUGGAUGUAUCAUUUUGCACUACCAGUAUGUUAAAAAUAAGGGAGAGGAGACGUUUAUUUUAAGUGGUAGGAUAUGAAUUGUCUUCACUCAAGACUAUUGAUAACUAUGAAUUUUGAGAGUGGGCACUUUUGAUUAGGUAUUUUUGGUACCUAAGCCUUCAUUUUGUAUUUAUUCCAGAAUGUAGGUGGUCAUUCUCUUUGUGUUAGACAAGCCUGUGCAAACCACCAGAAUUCUGAGUGUAUUCAAAUCUGUAUAAAUCGCUUUGAGUUGAUGACAAUGACUACUAGAAAAAAAAGUUCCUCAACUAGAUUUCUCUAAGUUUACUUUUACUGUCAAUAUUUUCCUCAGAUUUAAUAGUAAAUCACUGGUGGCCUGAUUGGUGAAUUUGUUUUUUCUCCUGAACACGAAUGUAUUUCACGGGGAUCUUUUCUUAUCAAAGGCUCUGUGAUAAUCUUUAGCCUUAAGGUAAAAUAGUGUUUACUGUCCAAGAAUCAAAUCUGUGCUUGUUUUGAUGUAAAGAAAAGCCUGAAGUGCGGCUCCAUCUGAUGUACCCAAGUCCUUCCUCAUGUCCGGGUGGACCCUCCUGAGCAUCAGUGAGUGCGCGUUGUGUCACCUGGCACCACCGAGCAGAGCCGGCCGUGCUCCGAGCUCUCUGCACACCCUGACAGACGGGGAUGGAUGGGGUUCCCUGUCAGCUCGAGGCUGAGCAGCUCCGGCUCCCUCAGCCUUUUCCCGUCGGAGAUGCUCCAGCCGCUUCAUCUCCGUCGUUCCCCGGCCGGCCCCGCUCCGGGCGCUCCCAGCCUCUCCUGCCCUGGGGACUCAAGCCCCGCCAGCUGCAAGUGUGCCUUUUCACACCGUGUAUUGAAGGGUAGCGAUAGCCCCGCUCCGUGCGCGGACAGAAACUGCCCUUUGCUCGGUGCUACAAUAAAUAUCAUUUAUCAGCGCU
Molecule: long non-coding RNA, 4740 nt
Organism: Melospiza georgiana
Lineage: Eukaryota; Metazoa; Chordata; Aves; Passeriformes; Passerellidae
Exons: 7
Source: RefSeq, a predicted model, not a curated record